Sinocyclocheilus anshuiensis is the source of this 1282-nucleotide long non-coding RNA. NCBI's taxonomy places the organism in Eukaryota, Metazoa, Chordata, Actinopteri, Cypriniformes, Cyprinidae. The record is from Ensembl.
UCAACCUGAAGAACCAGAAUUAAAGUUGAUCCCACAGGAAAAGUGUCUGAAGUACUGAGUCAGCUUUUCAGGAUAUGUGACACUUCAGGUCAGUGGUUACACUUCUUAAUGGCUGAUAAAGAAACUACAGUUGAUUUUGAGUGAUUUCGGUUGUUUGUCAUACACACAGAAAUUUUAGGGUGAUGCAUAGUAUUGUGUGGCUGUGCUGAUUAGAUUCCAUGUUAAAUCAAGAAUCUCAUACUCAAGUCUCUAAUUUUCACACUGAAGGAAAUACUGACAUCCAUGUAUGAUGAGCUGCUGUCCUCCGUGCUCCCUCCGCCUAUCUGCUUGAGGAUGACUCCAGCGUUCUCAAGAUGUGGGAUGUAGAACAAUCUGAUGAACCAGAUGUUGAUGAUGUGUCACUUCGUUUCCUCUCCAUUAGUAACAAUUCAACAGUUGCCACGUUCUUCUGCUCAGAGAAGACUGAAGUUGUACUUUGGGUAACAGUUAACGAUUUCCCCUCAUUGGCUCAUGCAUUUGUCAUGCUUUUUGGACUAACGUACGCCUUGGAUCUAAGUUCCCUAAAAGAGUUGGACAAUACAUUUGACUUUACCCACAAAUUCUUGAUGGGUCUGGAGGAUGGGAAGCUGAGACCCAGAGUGUUGAGUCUUAAAAAUGAACUUUUGUCAGUAGAGUUUCCUCAGUGUUUGAACAAAGCUUACAAAGGUACUGUUUUAUUUGACAUUUCAUUUAAACUUUCACUUCUGUCACUUUUAGUACAUUCUUUUCUUUCUUUCUUUCUUUCUUUCAAUAUUUGUCUAGUAUUUAAUUUGCAGAACAUUUUCUCAGUUGAUUUUCUGGAAUGGUAUAAGUUCCAUAUACAGUACCAUGUGUUCAUCCACUCAUAGAAAUGACUGUUUUAAAACAAACAUUGCUCUAUUUUGAAAUUUCUCUUAUAUUUUAUUCUAGUAUUACUUUUAUAUUUCUAAAGUUACUGUUUGAUGUGAAUUUUGGAAGUGUUCCUAUUUUAGGGAAGUGUUUACAGCUGGGUGAUAUCCAGAUAUCCAUAUUGUCCACUUCUAAAAGUGACAGUUAUUAUCUCAGCUCAUUUCUCAAGGGCCUUGCACUGUUUUGGAGAAUGUAUUUCCAUUUGACAAACAAUUUAAUGUUGAUGUUUUGUUAAUGAUUUGUGGUUACUUAAUAAAAUAGUAAUUUGCAUUUAAAUAGUCUUCUAACCCAUUUUUCUUAUUUUAUUUUUAUUUUAGUUAGUGUAUAGUUAUUUAUGAAAACGAAUGUUUUUACG